This is a regulatory RNA element of Clostridium celatum DSM 1785, 92 nucleotides long. It matches the Rfam family "pan motif". Lineage: Bacteria; Bacillati; Bacillota; Clostridia; Eubacteriales; Clostridiaceae. The record is from Rfam.
UGGGUGGUAUUUUAAUUAAACCGCACCAAGAUAUAUUUGAAUUUUAAAGAUUAAAGAAAUAGCUCAUAUCAUAAGUUGAAUGGGACUAAAUA